GACGAACGCUGGCGGCGUGCUUAACACAUGCAAGUCGAACGGAAAGGCCCCUUUGGGGGUACUCGAGUGGCGAACGGGUGAGUAACACGUGAGUAACCUGCCCUUGACUUCGGGAUAACUUCAGGAAACUGGGGCUAAUACCGGAUAGGAAUCCUUGCUGCAUGGUGGGGGUUGGAAAGCUUCGGCGGUUUUGGAUGGACUCGCGGCUUAUCAGCUUGUUGGUGGGGUAGUGGCUUACCAAGGCUUUGACGGGUAGCCGGCCUGAGAGGGCGACCGGCCACAUUGGGACUGAGAAACGGCCAGACUCCUACGGGAGGCAGCAGUGGGGAAUAUUGCACAAUGGGCGGAAGCCUGAUGCAGCAACGCCGCGUGCGGGAUGACGGCCUUCGGGUUGUAAACCGCUUUCAGCAGGGGCGAAGCUUGUGGUGACGGUACCUGCAGAAGAAGCACCGGCUAACUACGUG
RNAcentral lists this ribosomal RNA (464 nucleotides) under uncultured bacterium. RNAcentral's name for it is "partial 16S ribosomal RNA". It matches the Rfam family "Bacterial small subunit ribosomal RNA", at positions 28 to 507 of the family's 1533-position model. The record is from RNAcentral.